Long non-coding RNA from Triticum aestivum (bread wheat), 2560 nucleotides. RefSeq lists it as uncharacterized. The transcript has 9 exons. The record is from RefSeq and is a predicted model, not a curated record. NCBI's taxonomy places the organism in Eukaryota, Viridiplantae, Streptophyta, Magnoliopsida, Poales, Poaceae.
AUCUGUUUCCUAAGAUCUCUUGAGACCGCCCCAGCCCCGAGACAAGCAGCCACCGAGAUCCGAGAUGAGCCGCCUCCGCUGAGGAACGGGAGGAGCCGCCGCCUCGAGGUCGUCGUUGUGCCACACCGCCGCCUCCAGGUCGCCGCUGUCACACACUGCCUCAGGUACGUUGACCACUCCUCUCCUCGCCACUCCUCACUGCCAGCCCCGCAAAGCUUUGCCUCCACGGCGGGGAUUCACUCUAUGGCGUCCAUGAGAGGUGGCUGCAGCCGCCAUGGUGUUGAUCCGGUCCUUGCUGCUGGAUCCGGCCCUCUCCACUCCUCCUCCCGGUCCGAUCCAAUGGCGACCGCACGACAUCGACCUCCCGGAUGGCGUGAGGUCCCAGCGGCAACGUCAGGCCCCUUGCGGUUGGGGUCGAUUUGAGGUGGCUCCGGUGGAAACAUGGACCACGUCACACUGUUACAGGGGCUCCCGAGGCGACAUCCAGUUGCUCCGUGCGCGGGGAUUAUUUUCACCUCUGUUUACUGUUGCGUUUAUUUUGCAGGCCAAAAACAGGUGAGCGAAUCGGGAUUCAACCGUGCAAGAUUUUUUGCGAUGAUGUUGCUCCAUGUUCUUUUUGUGAUUCAGGUGUUCGUUUUGCACAUGUUCAUAGUGGGCAACCUCGAGGUCUUCGUCACUUCGAGCGCGGCGAGAUCCUCGAGGUCGUCGUCAUCACAGACAAGGGCACUGGUAGAUCCAAUGGCGGCGGAUUCGAGGCGGAGGCGGCCAUUAGGGUGUGCUUGAGUCCGUACCCGAUGAUUGGUGGCUGAAGGGUAACUGCAACCUCGCAUGCCUCGGGUCCAGAGGUCCAAGGCACCACAACCAACUGCCUCUUCAGACAUAUGAUGGGUGUCCGUGUUGAACAUAGAAGAUGGUUGCCCUUCAAGCAUCAACAAAUUGGAAAUUUCAAGCCCUGAUGAGAUUACAAGCAGGGCGGAAAGGGAAUCAACACCAUCACGCCAAAACAUUGAAGUGUAUUUCCGAAAAUGAUAAUUCCUACGAUUCAAAGUUUUUGGACAAAGGUUCAAACUCGAAGGACGACUGCCGUAGUAGGAUGAAGAAAUGAUGUCGCGCACUGGAGGGUGUUGCCGUCGGCCAUGCGUUAGGUGUCUGUUCUACUGGAAGUCGCUCCCAGGAGGGCGUCCAUGGUCUAUGCCUCGAGAAGCAAAGAAGGGACUCCAACUACAUCAUUGACGCAGCAGCCGAGCAGAGCAUGAAAGCAUGUCGUUGAUACAAAUAUUCAGUUGCCACGGCCAUUGAUACAAUAGCGGGGCAGAUCAUGAAUGUCAGAGACACGGUGGAGGUGACGCUACCUUUCUCGUCUUGGCAUCAUGCAGAUACUGGUAGUUUAGAUGUUAUUUGCCACACUGCGGAGAUCUCAUGUUCAAGCCCAUCGAAAGUGCAGAAUUUUGGUUGAUGUAAAUGAUUUUACUUGAGCAGACACUUCUCCUCCCGUCUCAUUUACCAUCAGUAUUGGAAUUGGAUGUCGUUCCUAUUACACAACAAAAUGGGCAAGGUUAGGUUGCAGUUCAGUGUGGCAUUCUGGCAUAUGUUUCGGGGUACUGGAGGAGAUCCUUUUGGUGCACCUACAAAGAACUGGCCUUGGGAUGAUGGCCCAAAUUCCCUGGCCAUGGCUAAGAGAAUAAGUAUGGGAAUUACCUGAUCUUGUGUCUUAGGUCCAUGGCUGGAAUCAACAACUUAAUUAUGCUUCGAUUUCUGUUUCGGUGAUAUCUCAAUUCGAGUUCAUGAAGAAGCUUGGAGUUGACAGGUGGUGCUUCCAUGACAGGGACAUCGCCCCUGAUGGCAAAACACUCACGCACAAGGAAUAUGGUUGUUGAUGGUUUACGCCCCGGCUGCGCCCACAUCGUCCAGACACCAAGUUCAAGACCAAGUUCUAACCCCUGUACCCAAUCUACCUCCAUGGAUCGUGUCUCUCACUAACCAAGAGCAUCAAUUCAACUCAACAGAUUGACAAAAGAGAUGAACCUAGAGUUUGAGGCUUGGGUAGUGUGGACAUUGACCUGAUGAUGAGUGUUGUAUGGUGGUCAAGUGGUGCCAUUUCCCCUCGCCACACGCUGCUUAGUGUGCUCUCUGUUGGUGUUUGGCUGCUGCUGCUACUGUAGGUCAAGGGCAUGCUAUGAUUACUUUGGUGGAGACAUAUUUAAGAAUGGUGUUAUCACUGAAUGCCUUGAUGUCUGCCAAGAAGAAGGGAGCAAGCGGCAGAAGAUUAUGAUAUUGUUGCUAUUGGGAGAAAGAAAGAAAAGGUAGUCCAUGGUGGGCCACAUCCUACAUGGCGGAUCGACCAUGCGCGUCUAUGAGCCUCAUAUACUCCCCAUAUUUCGUGUCAAUGUGAGAAUUUGCGGAUAGCCUGGACCAGGGAUGAUAUAAGGGGUCGGGUUGGGUUACCAUUUUCCUUCUCUCUCCCGUGCAGUCAAUGAUUGGGCGUGUCCAUAGAUUUGAGGGGACCAGCUGGAUGUGCUCUAAGAUUAUUGUGUUUAAUAAUAUGAUGUGUGUUAGCCAA